AGUGAACGCUGGCGGUAGGCCUAACACAUGCAAGUCGAACGGCAGCACAGUAAGAGCUUGCUCUUACGGGUGGCGAGUGGCGGACGGGUGAGGAAUACAUCGGAAUCUACUUUUUCGUGGGGGAUAACGUAGGGAAACUUACGCUAAUACCGCAUACGACCUACGGGUGAAAGCAGGGGAUCUUCGGACCUUGCGCGAUUGAAUGAGCCGAUGUCGGAUUAGCUAGUUGGCGGGGUAAAGGCCCACCAAGGCGACGAGCCGUAGCUGGUCUGAGAGGAUGAUCAGCCACACUGGAACUGAGACACGGUCCAGACUCCUACGGGAGGCAGCAGUGGGGAAUAUUGGACAAUGGGCGCAAGCCUGAUCCAGCCAUACCGCGUGGGUGAAGAAGGCCCUCGGGUUGUAAAGCCCUUUUGUUGGGAAAGAAAAGCAGCAGGUUAAUACCCCGCUGUUCUGACGGUACCCAAAGAAUAAGCACCGGCUAACUUCGUG
This 492-nucleotide ribosomal RNA is filed under the name uncultured bacterium. Its description in RNAcentral is "partial 16S ribosomal RNA". It matches the Rfam family "Bacterial small subunit ribosomal RNA", at positions 29 to 507 of the family's 1533-position model. The record is from RNAcentral.